AAGGCGUGGAUGAGGAGGGGGGAAAAUAAAGCUUUGACAGAUGGUACUCAGCGUUUGACUCCUGCUGAGCUCAGCAGGACCUGUGGUUUCCAAGGUUAGGGCUGUCAAAAUGGCUCUGUCUAUCAAGUGAAUAACAAAGUGUAGACUGCCUGUCUGUUUCCUAUACAAAACUUAGAUUUCAUUUGCCAUUAUUGUCGGCCUUUCUGCUGAUUUAAUAACUUCUAAGGAGAAGAACUAGGGGUUCUGAUGCAGCCUCACUAUUUAAGAAACUACUUGGAAAGGGAAUUCUCAAGGGCUGAAAGAGCCUUCAGAUGGUCAGAUAAAGUACCUGAUGCUGAAAAACAGGAAAUUGAAUCAUGUCUCCAAAAUGUGCCUUUUGUCAUGCACUGUUACAGCUAUAUUUCUUGGAUGUGAAUCCUGCCAGAUUGUGGCAUGGCACUCAACUCCUCAAAGAAGCCAUUGAGUUCCAGUCAGGCACUGCGAGAAUUGCAGAAGAAAUCUCAAACUUGGCCCCUGCCUCCAAGAAGCUGACAAUGGCUCUUUAGGCCUUAAUGAUUGACAUGAUCUUGGAAAACAGGUAUGUAGCAAAACUCUCCUAGAAACCUGAAAGAUGUGGCAAGAAGAAAACAUGGAGCCUUUUCUGAACAAGCCUAUGAGAGAAGAAGAAUCACUUCAAUUUAUUAAGUGUGGAUUCUGGGGCUAAAGAACUUACCUACAACCACACAGCCAGCAAAUUACUGACCCAGCAUAUUCUGAACCCAGGUCUUUAUUCUUUCCAAAACUUCACAGCACCUUCCUCAGAGCAUCUCUACAUGAAAAUCUGUAUAAAGAAGUGAUCUGUGGUGUCGCCAUUUGUAUCAAAAUGGUAUCACAAACUUAUUUAAAAGGCUUCAUCUAAAAGUCUUCAGAGUUUUGGCCAGGGAAGAGCUCUAAUAUCACACAUUAAUAACCUUACCUUUGUAACAUGUAAAUUGUUUUUUGUUUUAACAUCUCAGUUUCAUUAAACUGAGACCAGAAAGAGCCAUCAUCUUUUUACCAAUUUGUAAUCAUUUUAUUGUGUUAUGGACCUGCAGCAAUGCUGACUAUAUUUACAAAUCUGUGAGUGAAAUUUUAAAACCAUUUUCCUCUUCUAAUCUCUCCCAUCCUGCCUUCUUAGAAGCACACAAAGCAUCUCAACCACUCCCAAAUUCCCUGUUGGAAUACCCUUAAUGAUUCUGAAAUAUUUUGUUAUUCCCCAAACACCUCCCUAAGACGAAUCACUGGACUCCAGGCUCUUCACAUUGCCAAGUUGAAUCGAGUUCAAAUGUUCUAUCUAACCAAACUCUAACUUACAACAAAGCCACAUAUAGUAGAUGAUGUGUAAGAUAUUCCGAAAAUACCAAGGCAACAGGGAAAAAAAAUCUGUGUCAUCAAGAGGUCCUCCCAGAACUUCUUGUAAUCUAGAAUAAUCAAUUUUGUCAAGCUCCUGUAACCUAAUCAUAGCACACAUGUGUAUAUAUGUAUAACUAAUAACAUAAAUCAACUUUCAUUUUAAUAAUGUAUAGCUUAAGUUUUCUCACAUCCAAAACAAUUAGUGUUGCCAAAUUUAAGAUUAUUUCUCUACUUUAGACAUCAGAACAUGCACAAGGACUUGAGGAAUAAACAAAUCCAAGAAAACAAUCUUAGCCUGAUAAAGUAAAAAUUUUGAAUAAAUUCAUAAAUCAUUUAAAACACAAUCUUGUUAAAUUAGCUAUUUCAUAGUAUGUUAUGAAUGUAAAAGCAGAACACAGAAAAGGCAUUUUCCAAAAAGAUAUAGGACUUAGUAGGAUUUCCUUUUAUGUUAAAAAAUGGCCCAUGGAAGAGCAGUUUUCAGAAUGACCAGGGCAUAGUCAGACACCUCUUUCAUUGGAAGCUUCACCAAAGGGCACACUUCUCCUGAACUCAGAGUUUUGAGUCCAGACCCAGCUCUUGCCAAAGUUCACUGGGAGUUUUGCUAAGCUUCAAGAUGAUCCCACCUGAAAGCUCUUUGGAGACAAAGUUAAGUUCUUGGCACAGGAGAAGAGAAAGUGAGACACAACCUUGUUCCUCCAGAAGUUCACAGAAGAACAAAGGAGACAGUGAUAGAAAUGAUACAUAUGCAAGGCAGCAUUUGGAAAAAUAGAGGACUAUCCGCAGUACGGUGAGAACAAGAAAGAAGAGGUGAGCCCUCUGCCUGGGCGGAUCAGGAAGGUUCCACAAAGAGACAUUCCACUGAGGCCUAAAGAAUGAGGAAGCAUGCACCAGGCAGAUGAGUGGAGAAGGGUGUUCCUGGUAUGUGGUUGUCAGGUUGCCAGACCAACACCCAAGUGUCAAUUUAACCCCAACUGUAGCUCCGCCAGUGCUGCAGGCUUAUGUCAGAAACAGAAAUGGGAUAGGUUUUUGUAGGCCAGCCUGGGAAUACUUGUUUCUGUUGGGAGAUUAGCUCUAAAACCCUCAAUAAAAGAGAGUUGGCCCUGGGCUUAUGCCAACACAUAUGUACCCACUGCCACUACCACCACUCAUCACCUUGGGCAAACAAGAAAAGCAGUUCAGUGUCAGGAGGAACAAUUCUUGCACUUUCACUUUCUUUCACUAACUGAUCUUGUGAAUGCAAGGUCAUGAGUAAGGCCUUUUGGGGACUGCACAUACAAGACAGGUCCACACUCCAAGGAGCUUAACAACAGGCUAUGCUAGGCCAGGUGCAGUGGCUCACACUUGUAAUCCCAGCACUUUGGGAGGCCGAGGCGGGUGGAUCACGAGGUCAGGAGUUUGAGAGCAGCUCGGCCAACAUAGUGAAACCCCAUCUCUACUAAAAAUCCAAAAAUUAGCCAGAUGUGGUGGCACACACCUGUAGGCCCAGCUACUCAGGAGGCUGAGGUGGGAGAACCACUUGAACCCAGGAGGCAGAGGUUGCAGAGAGCUGAGAUCAUGCCAUUGCACUCCAGCUUGGGUGUCAGAGUGAGACUCUUUUUAAAACAAACAAACAAACAAACAAAACAGGCAACAGGCUAUGCAGGCAAGACCCGUGCAUAUAAAAUAACUGAGAGUCCAAGGCAGUAGCUGCCAAAAUAAUGACACAUUCUAUAAGCACUACUGUCCUAGCCAUCACUGCUUUCUGGAGAGAAUAAUUCAAUUUAGUUGAAAAAGUGUUUUACAUUAAAUGCCCACUAAAAGUCUGUUGAUUAUGUAAGACUGCAUUCUGAAUUUCACAAGGCAGGAUCCACCAAGUUCCAUAAAUGUAAAUAAGUUUUCCUCCCAAAAGUAACAGGUUAAGUCAACUCUGGAAAGACUAUGGGGAGUUUAAUUAAUAGGAAUUCUGGUUUACUCAAUACAAGAAACACAUCAAACUGAAUAGGUAUGAAAAAGCAUUUCCCACCAGUUGAAGCUGUCUGAAUUAAAAUGAACCGCCUUGGGAGGUAAUAAGUUUCCCGUCAAGCUAGAUAAUUACUUGGCAGUGAUUUGGUAGGGGUGAUGCAAGCAUUCAAUGACCAGUAGGCUCCCUUCCAGUCCUGUGAUUGUGUGAAUUUCUGCAGCUCCCCCUUGAUAACACAAUAAAACCUGGGAACCCACACUGCAAGGUUUUCAAUGUUGAAGAUUAGCCAUGGGUUAGGCUUAUUCAGGGUACCAGAGCCUAUUCUGAAUGGUGGUGAGGAAACAGAGAAUGGGAAGGUCGAACUUCUACCAAGAACCUGACCAAACUCCCAGGGUGCUAGUCAGUAUCUGGGGAGAGCUUCAGAAUGCCAAAACUCAUUAGUGCUCAAAAAAGGUCAUAGUUAUUAGACAAGGGCACUCCAUUAUGAAGUCCUAACUAAAGAACUAAAAAAAAAAGCCCCUUGAAGACAAGAUGUGUAGGAUUCUAGAGUAUUUUGAAAGGCUCUUCCAAUGCUGACCCCUGAGGGUCCCUCAUGAAUGUUAGCACAUCCAGAUUCUUGGGAAACUCCAAGCAAAGCUGUUGUCAAAGAUGUGCCCAAGAAGAGUGCCUCCAAAAGUAAACAAGCAGGAGAUAGACAAGACAGUUAUACAGGUCUCCUGAGUAAAGUAUACAGGACUGAGAUGGUGAAUGCAGAAGAGGAGUAACAGCCUGAGGGGACCCGGACAACCAAGAAACUGGUUGUUUAAAAUCCUGGCAUCUUGUAAAUUUGUUUGAGUUCAUUGUUGAUUCUGGAUAUUAGCCCUUUGUCAGAUGAGUAGAUGGCAAAAAUU
This 4200-nucleotide long non-coding RNA is filed under the name Homo sapiens (human). RNAcentral's name for it is "HSALNT0031845". Lineage: Eukaryota; Metazoa; Chordata; Mammalia; Primates; Hominidae. The record is from RNAcentral.